UUGAAACACCUGUUCCCGUACGAUCACCCAAGUUAAGCAACGUCCAGCCUGGUCAGUACCUAGAUUGGUGACUGUUUGAGAGUAGCAGGUGCUGUAGG
RNAcentral lists this ribosomal RNA (98 nucleotides) under Acanthosepion pharaonis. The record is from RNAcentral. Lineage: Eukaryota; Metazoa; Mollusca; Cephalopoda; Sepiida; Sepiidae.